This 440-nucleotide ribosomal RNA is filed under the name uncultured bacterium. Its description in RNAcentral is "partial 16S ribosomal RNA". It matches the Rfam family "Bacterial small subunit ribosomal RNA", at positions 338 to 795 of the family's 1533-position model. The record is from RNAcentral.
CCUACGGGCGGCUGCAGUGGGGAAUAUUGCACAAUGGGGGAAACCCUGAUGCAGCGACGCCGCGUGAGUGAGGAAGUAUUUCGGUAUGUAAAGCUCUAUCAGCAGGGAAGAAAAUGACGGUACCUGACUAAGAAGCCCCGGCUAACUACGUGCCAGCAGCCGCGGUAAUACGUAGGGGGCAAGCGUUAUCCGGAUUUACUGGGUGUAAAGGGAGCGUAGACGGCUAAUCAAGUCAGAAGUGAAAACCCAGGGCUCAACUGUGGGACUGCUUUUGAAACUGAGUAGCUAGAGUGCAGGAGAGGAAGGAGUAAGUCCGAGGGGAGGGGUGGAAUGAGUAGAUAUGAGGAGGAAAACCAGGGGCGAAGGCGGCUUGCGGGACUGUAACGGACGUGGAGGCGCGAAAGGGGGGGGAGAAAACAGGAUUAGAUACCCGAGUAGUC